This 420-nucleotide ribosomal RNA is filed under the name uncultured bacterium. Its description in RNAcentral is "bacterial SSU rRNA". It matches the Rfam family "Bacterial small subunit ribosomal RNA", at positions 355 to 775 of the family's 1533-position model. The record is from RNAcentral.
UGGGGAAUCUUGCGCAAUGGCCGAAAGGCUGACGCAGCGACGCCGCGUGAGGGAUGAAGGUCUUCGGAUCGUAAACCUCUGUUGCCCGGGACGAACAACACCUUUCGAGGUGUCUGACGGUACCGGGUGAGGAAGCACCGGCUAACUCUGUGCCAGCAGCCGCGGUAAUACAGAGGGUGCGAGCGUUGUCCGGAAUCACUGGGCGUAAAGGGCGCGUAGGCGGUCUGCUAAGCGUGUGGUGAAAGCUCGGGGCUCAACCCCGCGUCGGCCAUGCGAACUGGUGGACUGGAGCCUGUCAGAGGCAAGCGGAAUUCCGGGUGUAGCGGUGGAAUGCGUAGAGAUCCGGAAGAACACCGGUGGCGAAGGCGGCUUGCUGGGACAGUGCUGACGCUGAGGCGCGACAGCGUGGGGAGCAAACAG